CACAGAACAAGGUGGGUAACAAACACAGAACAAGGUGGGUAACGGACACAGAACAAGGUGGGUAACGGACACAGAACAUGGUGGGUGACAAACACAGAACAAGGUGGGUAACGGACACAGAACAAGGUGGGUAACAAACACAGAACAAGGUGGGUAACGGACACAGAACAAGGUGGGUAACGAACACAGAACAAGGUGGGUAGAAGAACAGAACAAGGUGGGUAAAGAACAAAGAUCAAGGUGGGUAACGGAGAACAAAGAGCAAGGUGGGUAACAAACACAGAACAAGGUGGGUACCGAACAAAGAUCAAGGUGGGUAACGGAGAACAAAGAGCAAGGUGGGUAACAAACACAGAACAAGGUGGGUAACGGACAAAGAGCAAGGUGGGUAACAAACACAGAACAAGGUGGGUAACGGACAAAGAGCAAGGUGGACAAACACAUUUAAAGGAAGCGUUCUGUGUUUUCCAACUUAACGUUAGAUGGUUCCUCACCCUGAAAGUCUAUGGGCCAGGAGAAUCUGGAAUCCAUGGUUCAGUUUUCUUUACAGCCACUACUAAUGUAGCCAGUGUUAACUUUAGCCAUUACUCCUCCCAUCUCCUCCUCUCCUCCCUAUUGUCCCUCUCCUCCUCUCCUCCUUCCUUCUCUCUUGCUCCUCUCCUCCCCCUGUCCCCCGCUCCUCCCCUUACCCCUCUCCUCCUCAUCAUCUUCUCCUCUCCUAACUACUUCUCUCCUCCCUCUUACCCUCUGUUCCUCCCCUCCCCUCC
Oncorhynchus keta (chum salmon) is the source of this 767-nucleotide long non-coding RNA. RefSeq lists it as uncharacterized. The transcript has 3 exons. The record is from RefSeq and is a predicted model, not a curated record. Lineage: Eukaryota; Metazoa; Chordata; Actinopteri; Salmoniformes; Salmonidae.